Pelobates cultripes (western spadefoot toad) is the source of this 215-nucleotide non-coding RNA. The record is from the annotation of a GenBank genome assembly. Lineage: Eukaryota; Metazoa; Chordata; Amphibia; Anura; Pelobatidae.
AUCAAUAGCAUUAAUAAGGUCAGUUGAGGUCCGUUGAUGUUCUCAGUCAAUGAAUGGCCAGCGGGAUUGGCAUUCGGCUUCUGCAGCUCUGCUGAUGCUGGAUGUACGUCACCGUCCAUAGGGGACCCUCAGCACUUAGUGGGGACGCAGGUAAGAGGGCAAAUGGUUGGAAAACGGGCUGUAGUGGUCAUGAUACAGGGAGGAAAAAAAUGCAA